Molecule: ribosomal RNA, 503 nt
Filed under: uncultured bacterium
Lineage: Bacteria
Description: partial 16S ribosomal RNA
Rfam family: Bacterial small subunit ribosomal RNA
Source: RNAcentral
AUUGAACGCUGGCGGCAGGCUUAACACAUGCAAGUCGAGCGGGGUGAUGGUGCUUGCACUAUCACUUAGCGGCGGACGGGUGAGUAAUGCUUAGGAAUCUGCCUAUUAGUGGGGGACAACAUCUCGAAAGGGAUGCUAAUACCGCAUACGUCCUACGGGAGAAAGCAGGGGAUCACUUGUGACCUUGCGCUAAUAGAUGAGCCUAAGUCGGAUUAGCUAGUUGGUGGGGUAAAGGCCUACCAAGGCGACGAUCUGUAGCGGGUCUGAGAGGAUGAUCCGCCACACGGGGACUGAGGAACGGCCCAGACGCCUACGGGAGGCAGCGGUGGGGAAUAUUGGACAAUGGGGGGAACCCUGAUCCAGCCAUGCCGCGUGUGUGAAGAAGGCCUUAUGGUUGUAAAGCACUUUAAGCGAGGAGGAGGCUCUUUUGGUUAAUACCCAAGAUGAGUGGACGUUACUCGCAGAAUAAGCACCGGCUAACUCUGUGCCAGCAGCCGCCGUAA